This 484-nucleotide long non-coding RNA is filed under the name Athene cunicularia (burrowing owl). Its description in RNAcentral is "lncRNA (ENSACUG00000008338.1)". Lineage: Eukaryota; Metazoa; Chordata; Aves; Strigiformes; Strigidae. The record is from RNAcentral.
UGACAGCAAGUGAUCCCCAUGUGACAGAUCUUGACUUGCCUUUCCCUGCUAUUCCUUCUCAUCCAUUAACCAUUCACACAAGCUCCCAGUUAGACUAUGGAAGAGCAUUAAUUGGCAAAGUCACACUCCUUACCAUCUGACAAUAUUGAUGUUACCCCUUCUAUUUUCAGCACACUGACUUUCCAGAGUCGCCUCCAAGUUAUAAUGGACAACGUCUCUCCUGCUGCCAGAGCCCAGAGAGGAAUAAACCAAGACCACCAGCUAAGACAUUAUGUAAUUGCCAUGGAUAUGAGUAUUGAAUGCCCUCAGGAAUUACCUACAAAGGAAACUGGAAACUCCAUGGCAUGUCUCUGUCAUCUUUUCCUCCAGAUGGUGCCUCCAAACCACUUCUGAAUGGGUUUGUGCAAAGCAGAACAUGUAAGUACUUCUGCUGGGUUUGAUCUAAGCAUCUCUAAUUUUGGUGAAGAUUUUAUUUCUGGAUGCU